RNAcentral lists this unclassified non-coding RNA (621 nucleotides) under Hevea brasiliensis (rubber tree). The record is from RNAcentral. Lineage: Eukaryota; Viridiplantae; Streptophyta; Magnoliopsida; Malpighiales; Euphorbiaceae.
CAGAAAUAGUCUUAAGGCAGUGACUACAUGCAUCAAGCAUUGUUAAUUCGUUUGCUGCAUUUACAUAUUUUCGAUAUGCACUAUAUUCAAUUUUCUUGUAUAAUUCUUUUUUGGGAUUUUUAUAAUUUUAUUUGGUGGGUGUUUUUUGUAUGCAGUUGGAUGGCAGGUAUAGCAUUAGCAUGGCUGCAAAGCAUUGCAAGGAAAUUGGUGAGUUGCAUGAGCUUGAGCAAAACAUUGAGAAGGCUAUUAUAUAUUUGGAACAGCUGCUGAUUACUUUGAAAAUCAAGAAGCAAGCUCCUCUGUUGGUAAAAGCAGAAAGUUGCGCAGUUCUCUUCAUCUCAACUUGGCAGAGUAGGUGAAUUGUGCUCAUUUCCCUAAAGCAGAAAUGGGCUUUUCUUAGCGUGUUUCCAACUGUCGAAUCUUUGUUCCAAGUAUUAGAUCAUAGUAAAAGUUCUGGCAAAAAAAAAAAAGAUCAUAGUAAAGGUGCCAAAAUUAGCUAGUUCUAUCUACGCGUUCAUUUUCUGUUAUAGGAAGGAAGCAGUUACUUCAACUGCUCUGUGCUUCCUCUGUUAUAUAUUUGUUCAGUAAUGUUGAUCACGUGUAGCUCAAAAUGAGCAUUGA